UGACUCAGUUAUGAAGAAUUGGGAAAACUGCCUUAUUGUGGUUUCCUUUGUUGAUGGCAGAUUCAGAAGACAUAUGUGAUCAUGUGAAUGUGGCUAGCAGAAGAGAGGUGGCUCUAGUGCAUGUUGCAUUCUGGAUUUGUUUUGUGCCUGCGAGGAGUUGAAUUCCUGAGCACUGGAGAAGAUCUAACCAUAUUGGCACUGGCUCUGCUCAUGACAGUACAGUGGGGCAGGUAA
RNAcentral lists this long non-coding RNA (234 nucleotides) under Gopherus agassizii (Agassiz's desert tortoise). RNAcentral's name for it is "lncRNA (ENSGAGG00000014804.1)". Lineage: Eukaryota; Metazoa; Chordata; Testudines; Testudinidae. The record is from RNAcentral.